GUACUUGCAUCAGCAGCACAUAUGCUAAAAAUUGGAAUGACACAGAGAAGAUUAGGAUGGCUCCUGUGCAAGGAUGGUACACAAGUUUGGGAAGUGUUCCAUAUUUUU
Small nuclear RNA from Gracilinanus agilis (Agile Gracile Mouse Opossum), 108 nucleotides. Lineage: Eukaryota; Metazoa; Chordata; Mammalia; Didelphimorphia; Didelphidae. The record is from RefSeq and is a predicted model, not a curated record.